This 17962-nucleotide long non-coding RNA is filed under the name Triticum aestivum (bread wheat). RNAcentral describes it as "long non-coding RNA (TAES_LNC028662)". The record is from RNAcentral. Lineage: Eukaryota; Viridiplantae; Streptophyta; Magnoliopsida; Poales; Poaceae.
CAAUUCCAUGACCUCUUCCACUUUUUUUCCAUGUCACUAGAUUGAAUUUUCACAUCAAGUCGCGUAACCUAGGUCUCCCGUCUGAAAGGGUUGCAUCGAUAAAUAUGCAUUCAAUUGCAUAUUUAUCACCGCAGCUUUUUCGGAUUGUCCAGCGCUUUCCACGGACAGCCCGAGGAUGUGUAGAUUGGGUACGUUGUUCAUGCUCUACCCCGUUCCGAGACAGGAUUUCGGCUGCGCCUCCCUGUUGUUCUCCAGAUGCACAUUCUCUCGGCAUUUUGCCGAGACGUGUAUUUUGUCUCGGAAUGGGUAGAGCAUGGACCGUACUCAAUCUACACAUUCUCGGGUGGGAUUAGGACCCAUCUUUACCUAUUAGAGAUGUAGGUGGAUUACUCGUCAACCUUGUAAAAAAUAAAAUAUUGAUGUGGGUAAUUUAAAUGAAUCCUUAAUUUUGUUGUGUGGCUUCCAAUAAAGCAGAGAUGGCAGAUAAUCAGUGGAUGUAUAGUGGGUUUUUCCAUCGGAAUCAAGUAACAACAGAGUGGGUCGAGAAAACUGAUGUGUUUUUGAAAGAGAUAUUCCGUAGACCAAUGAGGAUGGUGCCAGAAUGCCCGUGUGCCAGAUGUAAGAGACGUAUCAGCAGAGAUAAGAGUGAGAUGACUAAGCACCUUCACACGCAUGGAUUUAUGCCCAACUUUAAUAUGCCGAUAAACUUUGCCCAGCGGGACCGUGGUAGAGAGGAUGUGAUAUGACAACGCGUCGCUGGUUAUGAGGACGAUGGGGUUAGAUACAUGCUAGAUGAUGUCUUUGCUGCACAGCCAACACCUUCGUCACAUUCAGCGAAUGAACCGGAGGAGCCGGAGGAAACCGCAAAGGCCUUCCUAGAAAUCUUGGCCUCCUCAAAGAAACCUCUUUAUGAGGGUGCCAAGCUGUCUGUGCUGGAUGCCAUCUCGCAACUGAUGGCAGUCAAGGCUGAGUACGGUUGUAACCGAGGUUGCUUCGAAGCAUUUCUGGGAGUAUGGGCUAACAGCCUGCCUGAGGGCCAUGAACUGCCGAAAACCAUGUACGGUACGAAGAAAAUCAUGAAGGCGCUCUCCAUUGACUAUGAGAAAAUACAUGUUUAUCCAAAGAAUUGCCUUUUGUUUAGGCAUGAGUAUGCGGAUGACAAGUAUUGUAGGAAGUGCGGUUCCUCUCGGUAUAUUGAGGUGGUCGAUAAGCAUGGUUAGAAGCAGCAGCUAAAAAUCCCUAUGAAGGUUCUUCGGUAUCUUGAUUUUAUAAAAAGACUGCAGCGCCUUUUCAUCACCGAGGAGUCUGCCAAAAUGAUGAAGUGGCACAAGGAAGGGAAAAGGUACAAUCCAAAAAAAAUUGUACAUCCAUCAGGAGGUGAAGCAUGGAAGUCAUUCGAUAUAGAGUACCCGGAGGAAGCAGCCGAGGCUGGGAAUGUCCGAAUUGCUAUAACAGGUGAUGGGUUCAAUCCAUAUGGUAUGUCGUCUAAUCCAUACAGCUGUUGGCCCAUAUUUGUUAUUCUGCUCAAUCUCCCUCCCGGCGCCAUAAUGCAACGCAAGACCAUGUUCCUGUCGCUUAUAAUUCCGGGGCCUGAAUAUCCGGGGAAGAAUUUGAGUGUGUUUAUGCAGCCAUUGGUGGAUGAUUUGCACCAUUCUUGGUACUUCCCAAGGUUGACAUACGACCGACAUCUGCAGAAAAAUUUCUUGAUGAAAGUUUGGCUACAAUAUUGCAUGCAUGACUUUCCCGGUUAUGCCCUGUUCUGCGGAUAGUGUACAAGUGGAAAGAUGCCUUGCCCAGUGUGCAUGCAGGCCUUGAUUUUCAUUUGGCUGAAGAAGGGUGGCAAGUAUGUUGCAUUUGACCUGCAUCGACAGUUCCUCCCUCCAGACCAUCCUGAUAGGGAAGACAAGAAGAACUUCACAAAAGGCAAAGUUGUCCAUGAAGUAAACGAGAUUCCAACAUUUUCUGGUGCGGAUGUGCUUGCUCAGCUGAGAGCUCUUAAGCCUGCCGGUGAAGGGAAAGGCAAAGGCAAAGGCAAAGGCAAAGGCAAAGGCACAUGUGAAGACGAGGGCGAGGGCAAAGGAAAAGGUAAAGGGAAUUUUUUUUGAAGGAUAUGGUGAGACGCACAACUGGACUCACAUUACCCCCUUCACGCAGCUUCCCUAUUUUAAGGACCUCAAACUUCCAUACAACAUAGACGUGAUGCACACCGAAAAGAAUGUCGCAGAGUCCCUUUUUCGCACGAUCCUCAACAUUCCUGGACAAAGGAUAAUGUUAAUGCUAGAGUUGAUCAACAGAAUAUUUGUGAUAGACCACGUCUACACAUGCAGCCUCCCAUAGGUAGUCGAAAAUCUUGGUUCAAGCCAGAUGCUGACUUCGUACUUAAAAAGGAUCAUAAGAUGGAUGCAUUCAAGUGGCUGAAACACGUCGUGAAGUUCACUGAUGGUUAUGCGUCGAAUAUAAGUAAGGGGGUCAAUCUUUCAACGGGCAGAGUGACCGGGCUCAAGAGUCAUGACUAUCAUGUAUGGAUUGUGCGGAUUAUGCCGGUGAUGGUUCGGGGCUAUGUUCCCGAGCGUGUCUGGCGUGUGCUUGCGGAGUUAAGCCAUUUCUCCCGCACGCUUUGUGCUAAAGAAGUAUGUCUUGAGAAGAUAAAAGAAAUGCAUAAGAAGGCGCCGGAGUUGAUAUGCAAGCUAGAGAAGAUCUUCCCGCCAGGCUUCUUUACUCCGAUGACACAUCUCAUUUUGCACCUCCCGAACGAGGUAUUGUUGGGGGGCCCUGUGCAGAAUCGUUGGCAGUACGGCCCUGAGAGACAGAACAAGCAUCUGAGACAGAAAUAUGGAAACAAAGCUAAGAUUGAAGCUUCCAUAGCUGAGGCAGUUAUCCUAGAGGAGGUGGCAGACCUCAGGACAGCCUACUAUCCGGACCAUGUUCCCACGUUGCACAAUAAGGUGUCUCGAUACAAUACAGAAGAACCCAAGUAUAAACCCAAGUUGCCUCUAUUCAUCGGGCAAGGUGGUAGGGCUGGAUGCUCGAAACCUUAUGUCAUGCCACGAGAUGAGUGGGAGGAUGUCAUGUUCUAUAUCUUGCACAACAUCAAGGAAGUUGAGGAUGAGUGGAUGAGGUAAUACCUUUGCACCAUUCUUUUAGUCAAUUCGUUAUGUUCACUUUGCCUAGUUCUUAUACCGCUUUUCUUAUUGUAGUCGAUUCGUUGAAGAAGAAUGGACGGGAAUGCUGCCUCCUACUGAAGCGGAGGCACUUGCGCUUCUCCGAAAGGGUGCUGAUGGAAGGAAAAAUUUCGUUGUGUGGUUCAUGGAGAAAGUAAUUUUUCACACUUUCAAUUAAACUCAUGCACCCUAUAAUUUCAAUUAAACUCAUGCACCCUAUAAUUUCAAUUAAACUUGUAGGGAAAUGAUCCGACCGAAUCAAUGGAUGAAGAAUUGAGAUGGGUUUCCAUGGGUUUUGACCCUGUCGUCAUGACAUGCGAAAAGUAUGAUGUGAAUGGGUAUCGCUUCCAUACAGAGGAGCACCAGAACAGUCGUCCUGAUCCCAAAACCAUAAAUACCGGAGUCUUCACUGAAGGAGAUAAUAAAGUAGAUUACUACGGAAGGGUAGGAAAAAUAUACGAGCUUACAUUCAAACUUGGCCGCGAACACCUAAGUCUCACUGUUUUCAAAUGCCGAUGGUUCGACCCCAAAAAGGGUCUGAGACAUACGCCUUCUGUUGGUUUAGUUGAAGUUAAACCAUCAACCGUCUAUGCCGGAGCUGAUCUCUUUAUCGCCGCUACCCAGGCCACACAAGUAUAUUAUCUGCCUUACCCAUGCCAGAAAGAGUACCUAAAGGGUUGGGAAGUUGUGUUCAAGGUGUCGCCGCAUGGUAAGCUACCGGACCCGAACGAUGAUGAUUACUACAACAUAAACCCCAUGACAUACGAGUGAGUGUUCUAUCAAGAGGAACAUGAUGACGUGGUCCGAAACAACGAGGAUGAUGACUUGGGUUAUGUUGACCUGGACCCAAACGACAACGACGCACGGAUUGACUUGGGCAUGAUGCAUUUUUGUUCUUCUUUACCGUCAUGUUCUUAUGUAUGGCUAACUUCUAUUUGACGUUGUAGGAGGACAAGUUAAAGAGGCCGCUCUCAGACAUGGAGUCGUGGAAGCUGGCCCGCGAGCGGAGUCAUCGCAAGGAGGGCGAGAGCCAGUACUACGGCAAGACCGAGGAGCACCUGGGGUCUUACAUUCAUCACUAUCAGGAGUUGCAUCCGGAUGUUCCUGUUGCUGAGGUCGCCCAGUCUCAGAUCGACGACACGGCGGUGGUGGCCAUCCAGGGGAAGAAGAAUGGCCGGUAUCCAUGUUUCGACGGCUUGAUCACUCCUUCGAUCUCGUACACACAGCUUCGGGCUACCAACCCGAGCCAGUUAGAGAGUACGGGGCGUUCACAGACUCCCUUAGCCCGCCAGCAUGUUGUAAGUACUUCCUCUUUAUCUUUUUCUAUCUAGCAUUCUCAGUUUAUUUUCAGCAUUGCUCACUUAGAAACAAUCUAAAUUAUGUAGGCAUAUAAGGAGUUUGUCGAGCAUAGGAAUCUCGAGGUGCGGGAGUACUUGAAACGAGUGAAGGCAAACGAUGAUUACAACCGUCAGAUGAUGACGGUUAGUUUUGCCCUCUUAAAACCAAGCUAAAUUUUUGCACUUUCAUUCCUUCUGAUCUUCUAGUUUGCUUGUUUGACUAACAUUCAGGCUAUGUUGGCGUCUUGGAGUAACCGCACGGAUCCACCACAAAUGGGACCCCCACCACCACCUGCAGGAGAACCCCCACACGUGCCCACGUUCGAUGAAUGGGUGGCACUAGGCAGUGAUGGUCCGGUUAGUACAUUUGCCUAACUACUGACAAACUAGUUCUCGUUCAUUCAACACUAUCAUAUCAUAUUUACCGUUAGAAUCUUUUCUGAAACAUGUAGGGGACCGGUGGCUCGACUCCUGCUCCGUCGACCCCAGUCACUCCGAUCUGGCAGAGUGGUUUUGGCGGAGGUGGUGAUUUUGGCGGAGGUGGUGGUGGUUUUGGCGGAGGUGGUCUUGCUUGAUGAUUCCGUGCAUGUGGCCGUCGUGCCAUGCCUUUCAUAUUCCUACUUCUAUCAUGUUUCAUGUCUUGCACUACUUUUAUGUUCAUGAACUUGAGUCCACGAUGAUCUUUAGAUGAUGUGAUGAACUUGAGUAUGUUUAGAUGAUGAUGUUGAACUUGAGUAUGUUUAGAUGAUGAACUGUCAUAUUUCUGCAUAAUUUCAUAUUGUUCUGUUUUGAAAUGCUGUCAAACGAAUUGGAAAAGAGAAAACAGGGAAAAAAAACUAUGCCUACGGCAAAGCCGUCGGCAUAUAUAAGCCCAGGAGUCACCAGGGCUCGCCACGUGGCAUAUCUCUGCUGCCACGAGUAACCAGGAGACGACACGUGGCAGGGCUAUGCCUACGGCAAAGCCGUCAGCAUAGAUUCAUCUAUGCCGACGGCUUUGCCAUAGGCAUAGCCCUGCCACCAGGAGUACCACGGGUUGCCACGUGGCAGAGAUAUGCCGACGGCAUACAUGUGCCACAUGGCAUUGCAUGAUUCGUCCGCGCUUUUGACGGCGUCGUCCGCGGCCGUCAGACGGAAACCNNNNNNNNNNNNNNNNNNNNNNNNNNNNNNNNNNNNNNNNNNNNNNNNNNNNNNNNNNNNNNNNNNNNNNNNNNNNNNNNNNNNNNNNNNNNNNNNNNNNNNNNNNNNNNNNNNNNNNNNNNNNNNNNNNNNNNNNNNNNNNNNNNNNNNNNNNNNNNNNNNNNNNNNNNNNNNNNNNNNNNNNNNNNNNNNNNNNNNNNNNNNNNNNNNNNNNNNNNNNNNNNNNNNNNNNNNNNNNNNNNNNNNNNNNNNNNNNNNNNNNNNNNNNNNNNNNNNNNNNNNNNNNNNNNNNNNNNNNNNNNNNNNNNNNNNNNNNNNNNNNNNNNNNNNNNNNNNNNNNNNNNNNNNNNNNNNNNNNNNNNNNNNNNNNNNNNNNNNNNNNNNNNNNNNNNNNNNCGGCAUAGGCCCCUAUGCCGACGGCUAUACUAUGCCGACGGUCUGACAAGACUACGCUGACGACAUCUACGCCGACGGGUCUAUGCCGACGGCAGCCGUAGGCAUAGAUCUAUGCCGAUGGCUUAGGGGCCUAUGCCGACGGCCCGUGGCCGUAGGCAUAUACCGCGAGUCCGGUAGUGGCAACUCAGGAAGCAGCAGAGUGACUUGAGUAGGUAAGUUUUUGAGAAUUGCCAAACCUGGUACAAGCCUGGGCUGCGAGUUGACUAAUCGAUCAAGCAAGGCUUGACCUGGUCAGAAUCGGCCUAGAUCGCCGAAUGGGCGACGUUGGCUUGACUAGUUGACUUCAACUAUUUGACGGUCCAUUGCGCCUCCUGCUCGAGACGCACACAUAAAUGACAAGAAAAAGUCCUCUUGUCGAGGGAAAAAAACGCUACAAAGUCAUGCGGAGUGGUCAAAGGUGGAAUCUACCCUGUAUUUACAUGAUAUUCUAGUAUUUUGGAAGUUUCUUGUUUGCAAGAAAUUUUUUAAUCUAUUCAUCAUGCCAUGACGAUACAAAUAACAAAAAUUACACUCAUGUCCAUAUACCACCUAGCAACGACUAGAAGCACGGGAGCGAGCCAAAGCCUCUUCCUCACCGGACAACCAGUCUCGCUAAGCCACGUGUCUGAAUGAUUGUUUUGUUGUAAUUUUUAAGUAUGAUUUUCCUUUUUGAGUACGAAUCGAAUGGCAUGGUGUUUGUUGCGCUGCACAUGUCCCAUGCCUCGUUGUUCAAACUGAAUAUCAAGUUUCAACCUCAAGAGGGUAUGUAUCCGAACUAACAUUAUGAGGUGUUUCUCCUAAGCAUCGGCUAGGGCUUACACCUUCUCCCCCAGUGGUGGCAGAAGAUGAUCUUCUUCUUCGACUUGGUCUUCUGGGCUUCCAUUCUCCUCAAGUUCAUCAACCCUCCAGUUCACUCGCUUGGACGGAAUUGACAGAGCUAUAACAUAGAUUCGCAUUAUCUUCUUGGGACAGUGAGAUUAAGGUUUCUCGUCAUGUGUGGACAAUCAGGCUAGGAUUUCUUGUCGUGUAUGUGCAACGGUGAGAUUUGAUGUUGGACACUUCAGAUUGAUUCAAGGGUUCAACAACGACGAAUGUGGCUCCAGAGUGGUGGUCCUUAAGCGCGCGUACACGAAGACUUUCUGACUGUCAUUGACAAGGUGGUCAGUUCCAGUAGGGGAGCAUCUACAGUGCCACAUCGGCAACUCAUUUUGGCGGCCAUAAUGGUCGUUCGGUGGACUAGAGAUCUCAAUAUAAUUUCUAUUAUGUUUGUGAUGCUUUGUACUUUUGAUGAACCUUUAUAAUAGAUCCAGUGCUUUUCUCGAAGAAAUAUAGCCGACCUCAAGACACGAGGGCGCUAUGUAGAUUUGGGUGACUACCACUUUCGUAUGGUGAAAAAAAAAACCAGAAAAUUCUUGUGGUUAAACGUUUCCAUUCGUUUUAGUUCAAAAUUUGAACUAAAACCACCCCACUUGUUUCUGAACGGAGGAAAUAACAUCGUGUGUGCGUUAAAAACAGAUUUCUAGCAUAAACACGUAAGAAAAGCAGAAUUUUCCAUCUAUACAUAAAUAUGAAAAGUUUCCAUGUUCUUAUGGAACUAGCGUGUAAUUUUACAUUUUAAAUCCUAACAUUCUAAGUGUCCAUCGACCAUUCAUUCUUCUUGCAAUAAUUAUGCGUGUGGCCGGAGACGGAUCUAAGUUUGUAUCAAUUUUGUUCGAGUUAUGGUGAUUCCAGACCAUAUUAAACUAUUAUAAUGUUGUAGCUUGGACAAAUGUGAAACCCAUGUGUUGAGCUCGUGAUAAUCAUACAAAUUGAGUUUCGCGAGCAAAGUGUGGCACCCCCUUAUUGUAAGGUUCUAGAUCUUCCACCACCCCUGCUUCUCAAAUUUUGACCAAAGGUUUUUCGUAAAAAUAUUGACCAAAUCGAGCUAUCCACCAUUGGCCCGCUGCCGAUGCCCCCAACUUCUCGAACGAACACCUGCAACACUGAAACAGUACAUUUGUUGAUGUCUUUGCACGAUUCGAGGGUUGAAUUUUGUUCAAACAAAAAUUGCUUUUUGUCACAAUGCGGCCUCGAUAUUUGUAUCCGACAUUACGGCCACUUCCACAUCCGCUUCCAGAAUUUCCGCGCUCAUUUCCGCUUUUCCUAAAAAUAUAUAUAUUGAAAGAAUGUAUUGCACUCACCUCCUUUUCCUCUUUGUUUUUCACAUACACUCGUUGGUCCAAAUAAACGGACAUCUUGUUGUCAUCUUUUGCCUUGUUGCGCGGGCGUGACGCGCAUGCGGUUCCUCCACCGGGGGAUCCAAAACAACAUGAAGCAAAUGACGGUGUUGAAGGCGAAGAUAGAGACAAGGCGUACGAGAAAAGUCCGCCUUCCCAGGAAAAAGUCCAUUUCAAACCUUGAACUUGUAGAGGUCGGGCGAAACAAACCCUCAAGUCGAAAUUCCGGUCGAUUGCACUCUGAACUUUGCAAUCCUGGUCUAAAUCGAACCUUCGGGUCAUUUUACAAACAGGGAUUGUCGAUGUGGCAAAGAAUGACUGGGAUUGGGGAGGAAAAGCCCGCAGCGCCUGCGGGUGGGCCGGCCCAGUUCGCGGCAGCGCGUGCUGCACGUUGUUGCUUCAGUUUUUUUGUUCGUUAUUUGUUCGUAUUCAAACACGAUUUGCGCUGUAUAUGCAUGCUCAUGCCAAGUUGUAGCACCCGUUCAAUGUGUGCCAUAAGUUUUAGCACCAAAGUAACUUUUCUCGCCAAGUUUAAGCACCGGUGGUGUAAUUGGCUCUUAUUAUUUCCAUGAAAACUAGCUGAAUGAUUCUGUUUCUUAAGGUGACAUAUUUUUUGUGUGGAAAACUUGGAACUUUAUUCAAUCAUCAACAGGUCCAACAUGUUCAGCUAAAACACUGGUCAUGAGGAAAUCGGGAGUGGCAGUCCAUCCACCAACUCAUCACCUCAUGUUUUGCACACAUGUAGGCUGAAGUGUUGGCAUUUCUCAUUACACGUUGAAUAACAAAAGAAGUAAAUGAUAAAGCUAGCUCUCCGUUUUCUAGAAGUAAAGACGCGACUAGUGAGCAUGAAAAUCUAUGUGAGUACCAGAGUUUUACAAUAUCUAAGCAAUUGAAAAAAAAAUACCCUCUAAGUAACCCACUUCCGUCACCAUUCAUGAUAGACCACAAAGCUUAACAAAUAUGACACCAUCUCGCAGAGCCCAGGCCUCGGCACUGAGUGGGCCAGUAACGUCAGGAUAUGGUUUUCUUUCUUUUCUUCUUGGGUUUAUUUUUUCUUUUCUUCUUAUACUUUGGUUUUCUUUGUUCUUUCUUGUUUUUCUUUGUUUGGUUCCAUUUUUGGCUUUUUUUUGUUUCUUUGUUAGUUCUAUAUCAGUUUUCUUUCUUUCGAACACAUAUCUACUUUUUCUCUCAUCACAGAAUAUACAUUUUUAGAGCACAAGUGAAAACAUUCUUCUGAUCGCACGCUGGACCUUUUUGAAAUACUCCCUCCGUAAACUAAUAUAAGAGCGCUUAGAAUACUAAAUUAGUGAUCUAAAUGCUCUUAUAUUAGUUUACAGAGGGAGUACAUGAUAUACAUUUUAAAAAAUACAUGUUUCGAACACUUUUUUUCAAUAUACGGUAACAUUGUUUCAAAUAUUUGUAGUACAUUAUUUUACUGGCAAUGACUGUUUUAACAACUACGCUAAUUUUUUCCUAAAUUUUAUAGCUGUUUGCAAAAAUUUACGGACAUUUUUUGGUAACACAUGAAUAUUUUCCAAAAAUGUCAUGUUAAAGUUUUUAUUAGAUGAAUAUUUUGUAACCUACAUGAACAUUUUUUUUACAUUUGUAUAUACCACCUCCUCACCAUAAUAUAAGAUCACUUUUUCUGAAUUGCUUACCACAUGUGUCACGUGGCUAUAAGAUCACAUAUUUGUUGUAUUACUUAGAUCUUUUAUUAUGGAAGGGAAGGAGUAACAUUUUUUUAAUAAUGUGAUGAACAUUUUUUGAAACAUGGGAGAAUAUUUCCAUCAAAUGUGAUGCACAUUCUUUUAAUGGCACGAAUCUUUUUCUUAGAUUAAAAAAAAAUACUUUUUUUACAUUGUAUACAUACUUUCAUAAAAAAUUGUGCCUUUUUAUGAAAGUUGGGAAUAAUUUUAUAUUGUGACGCAAUUUUUCUGAUAGUUAUCAACGAUUUCUUAAAACCGUGAUAACAUUUUUUACUAUGUUUAUUUUUCAAAUUAAUUUUUUUAAAUUUGGUGAGUAAACUUAGGUUUUUAUAAUAUAUGCAUUUAAUUCAAAAUAUAAAAAAAGUUAUAAAUAGAUUUUUGGGUGACAUGAGCAGACGAGCCACAUCCUACUGGGCCUUGCGCGCAAUAAGCUGCACAUAACCUGACACCCGGAUUGCAUCUCAUCAUCAAGCCAAAUCAUAUUGAACUGAGGCCAACAGAAAAAAUCACAAUAUGAUUUUGAUUUCAUAUUGAACUGAGGCCAACAGAAAAAUUCAUAAUUUUCCCUAAAAAAGAAAAAUUAUAAUAAAAUAUAUCAAAGCCAGGUUUCAAUUCUAGGACCUAUGAGUUAUGGGCCCACCAUGCUUCCGCUGCACCAUUCUGAUUAUCUCAUUGAGUUUGCGACGCGAAGCUACAUAUCCGCAAGUCUGAACCUGGACGUAUACAUGGACGGUCACUCUUAUGAUGUUGUUGUUAAAAAAUUCCUACUUAAUUAUAGUUCCGCCCGCUCAGGGAACAUCACCACCAAAAUGGCAAACAUGUUUAGAAAUGCACCAUGGAUCUGCAAACGAAUCUGUGGUUGGAUAGUUAGAGGGAUUGUGGUAUCCCAAACCCAUCAGAGUUCAAAUCCUGAUGCUCGCAUUUACUUUUGAAUUUAUUUCAGAAUUUCCGGCGAUGCACAUUCAGUGGGAGAAAACGUUUUCGUUGAUGACGAGGUGCCUACGGUGACUUCGUAAAUUUCAAGAUGAGUCUCACGUAUAUACAUCCGUCAGUGCUCGAGCUAGCAACCAAGUUGAGCAAGUCGUCGUGGCCGGAGCUAGUGGGCAUCCUGGCGUCGCUGGCGGCGACGCAGAUCGCGCACGACAGGCCCGCCGCCGCCAUCGAGGUGCUCCCGACCGGCGUGCCGGUGACUCCCGACUACAACCUCGAGCGUGUCCGCGUCUUCAUCGACCUUAACGGCAUCGUAGCCAAGACCCCCGUCAUCGGAUAGGCUCCCGUGAAUGGCACGUAGUGUAAUACGUACUGUACGCACCAGCGUGUAAUGUCGCCGCUGAGGUGGGGUGGGGGGGGGGGACUAGUUUGGGUUGUCUAUGUAAUCUUUGGUCGUCCAAACUUUAGUUCGGGUUUAAAUUGAAGGUUUCAGCUGCAAUGGUGAGAAAAUGUUGUUUGGCAUCGCCCAAGGGCGGGUGAAGUUUCAAUUAAGGUGAGAUAUUGGGCCUCAUUUUUGUGUUUUGUAUUUGUCCAGGUUAUCAAUGGUAUUGCAGUGUCCAUGGACAAACACUAUGCAGAAUUAGCUACCUUCGCUAGCCUCCACAUAAUAUCAACCCUAAGACGCCACCUUCACAGAACCUACACGUGGUAACGUGCAUGCCAUAUGAAUGAAACAAUUGGUAUCACAACACAAGUCACCAAAGAAUCCGCAACAACAACAAAUAUACACAACAACUCAGAAGAGUGUGAACUAAGCCCAACUCAUAUGGUUAGGUUCUGCGCGCUGGAACCAGCCCACCUAGGUUCAAUUACUAGAUUUGGUAUGCUUAUGAUUUCUGACUAAGGUGAGAUAUUGGGCCUCAAUUUUUGUGUUUUGUAUUUGUCCAGGUUAUCAACGGUAUUGCAGUGCCCAUGAAAAAACAAUAUGCAGAAUUAGCUACCUUCGCUAGCCUCCACAUAAUAUCAACCCUAAGACGCUCCUUCACAGAACCUUACAUGUGGUAACGUGCAUGCCAUAUGAAUGAAACAAUUGGUAUCACAACACAAGUCACCAAAGAAUCUGCAACAACAACAAAUAUAUACAACAACUCAGAAGAGUGUGAACUAAGCCCAACUCAGAUGGUUAGGUUCUUUGUGGUGGAACCAACCCACCUAGGUUUAAGUACUAGAUUUGGUGCUUAUGAUUUCUGACGAUGUUCAUGCAGUGGGAGAGACGUUCCCGUCAAUUACAGAGGCACCUGUGCGGACUUCGUCAAUCUCAAGAUGAUGUGCCAGCUUAGUCUCUCGAUGGUGCUCAUAGGGGUAGGGUGUUCAUGCAUGUGUUUAUAGGGGUAAGUGUAUGAGCGCCCGCUUCUGUACUGUGUUACAAAAACAACUCUGAAAAGUUAAAUUUAACAAAAGAAUACAAUAAUGGUCUUUCGACGAAGAUACAAUUCACACAAUGGAAUUGAAUAUGUCUCUUAUAAACUCUGCCAUGGCAGAAAUUAUAAGGUUACUACGUUGUGAACAUCAACACGACAUUUUUUAAAUCAUUUUUUAACCCGCCAACCAUUUUUGUGAUACCAAACAUUUUAUGUGACACUACGAAUCGUUCCAGAAAAUGGACAUGCAUAGCGACGCCCAAAUGCAUCGUUGAAAAUCAGGCCAGAACGUCGCCAAAGUUGGCUAGGGAACUACCACGGAAGGAAAACACCUCGUGACGGUGGACAGUCAUAGAAAAUGAUUUUAGGCGACGUUUUCUGUUUCGUCACCAGAGUUUUUGUCAUUGAAUAGAGCAAAUUUUGUAGUGCUACGACAACGGUCGGUUCAUCUCUCAAGCGGUUUUAUAUAUGUUGUACACUCACUCGUGUUGCAAAUAUGCCCUAAAGGCAAUAAUAAAAGUAUUAUUAUUAUAUUUCCUUGUUCAUGAUAAUUGUCUUUUAUUCAUGCUAUAACUGUAUUAUCCGGAAAUCGUAAUACACGUGUGAAUACAUAGACCACAAUAUGUCCCUAGUGAGCCUCUAGUUGACUAGCUCGUUGUGAUCAACAGAUAGUCAUGGUUUCCUGGCUAUGGACAUUGGAUGUCGUUGAUAACGGGAUCACAUCAUUAGGAGAAUGAUGUGAUGGACAAGACCCAAUCCUAAGCAUAGCACAAAGAUCGUGUAGUUCGUUUGCUAGAGCUUUGCCAAUGUCAAGUAUCUCUUCCUUUGACCAUGAGAUCGUGUAACUCCUGGAUACCGUAGGAGUGCUUUGGGUGUAUCAAACGUCACAACGUAACUGGGUGACUAUAAAGGUGCACUACAGGUAUCUCCGAAAGUAUCUAUUGUUUUAUGCGGAUCGAGACUGGGAUUUGUCACUCCGUGUAAACGGAGAGGUAUCUCUGGGCCCACUCGGUAGGACAUCAUUAUAUGCGCAAUGUGACCAAGGAGUUGAUCACGGGAUGAUGUGUUACGGAACGAGUAAAGUGACUUGCCGGUAACGAGAUUGAACAAGGUAUCGGUAUACCGACGAUCGAAUCUCGGGCAAGUAACAUACCGCUAGACAAAGGGAAUUGUAUACGGGAUCGAUUGAGUCCUUGACAUCGUGGUUCAUCCGAUGAGAUCAUCGUGGAACAUGUGGGAGCCAACAUGGGUAUCCAGAUCCCGCUGUUGGUUAUUGACCGGAGAACGUCUCGGUCAUGUCUGCAUGUCUCCCGAACCCGUAGGGUCUACACACUUAAGGUUCGAUGACGCUAGGGUUAUAAAGGAAGCUUGUAUGUGGUUACCGAAUGUUGUUCGGAGUCCCGGAUGAGAUCCCGGACGUCACGAGGAGUUCCGGAAUGAUCCGGAGGUAAAGAUUUAUAUAUAGGAAGUCCUGUUUCGGCCAUCGGGACAAGUUUCGGGGUCAUCGGUAUUGUACCGGGACCACCGGAAGGGUCCCGGGGGCCCACCGGGUGGGGCCACCUGCCCCGGGGGGCCACAUGGGCUGUAGGGGGUGCGCCUUGGCCUACAUGGGCCAAGGGCACCAGCCCCAAGAGGCCCAUGCGCCUGGGGAAACCCUAAAGGAAGAGUCCCAGCAGGGGAAGGCACCUCCUAGGUGCCUUGGGGGGGAGGACUCCUCCCCUGGCCGCCGCCCCCUUGGAGAUUGGAUCUCCUAGGGGCUGGCGCACCCCCCCUUGGGAUCCCUAUAUAUAGUGGGGUAGGAGGGCCUCCCAAACACACCUUAUGCCUUUGGUGCAGCCCCUCCCUCUCUCCCAAGUUCUUCUCCUCUCCCGUGGUGCUUGGCGAAGUCCUGCGGGAUUGCCACGCUCCUCCACCACCACCACGCCGUUGUGCUGCUGUUGGAUGGAGUCUUCCUCAACCUCUCCCUCUCUCCUUGCUGGAUCAAGGCGUGGGAGACGUCACCGGGCUGUACGUGUGUUGAACGCGGAGGUGCCGUCCGUUCGGCACUUGAUCAUCGGUGAUUUGAAUCACGAUGAGUACGACUCCAUCAACCCCGUUCACUUGAACGCUUCCGCUUAGCGAUCUACAAGGGUAUGUAGAUGCACUCUCCUUUCUACUCGUUGCUGGUCUCUCCAUAGAUAGAUCUUGGUGUUACGUAGGAAAUUUUUUGAAUUUCUGCUACGUUCCCCAACAACUCGCCCAUUGUAUUUACGACUUUGGGUGAUGGUCGUCCUUCAACUUCUCCUCUGCUUUACCAAAGUAAGAGGAAGAGAAGAAGAAGGACGACCCCCUACGACAAUAGUCGGUGUCCUUCACACAGAACAACUCUCAUCUUAGUUUGUGGAUUAAGAGUGAGUAUGAUCCACCCGACGGAAAAUACAAUGAAGUAGCUCGUCCAUAAAAACUAAUAAAUUUAUGGAAAAACCCAGCAUAGAUAUAUUGAGUGCCAGAAAUUAAGCGAAACAGAACUUAAUCCACGCGAAGUUUCACGUAAACAUUGACACUCAGUAUGAAUACCUGCAUCAUGAAUAAAAUAUUAUACCAUAUGUGGAUCCAUAUGCAGUACACAGUCCUCUAGCACAAGCAAUCAAAUUUAAGGGACGAGGAUCCUCUGCCGUUCGGCAGGGUGCCGUUCGACCACUGACUGAUGGACCCAUCGUGGAACAGGCCCACAUGGCAGCGCCACAACGGCAGGAGCCGCACGUCAGGGGAGCCGCUUCCAAAUUUAAGACGUCUACUUACAAACAUUCCAUGGUACAUAAAAUAAAUUUUUUAACUACACUAACAAAAUGUUGCUCAUGUACAAGUACAAUAAUGAGAACAAAUAAAAUCUCCAUUAGCGGAGAGAAAGGAGAUGUGCUUACUGGGGCGGAGUCGGACGACGGGCAGGACGAGGCCGAGGACGAUGGCGGAGGCGGAGGCGGACCGCGAGUUCGACGGAGACGCGGAUGAUGUUGGAUGCGGAAGGCGCAGGCGAUGGUCACGGGGAAGUAGUUGGAUGUAGUGUUGCAUGACGAGGCCAACAAACUUCAAGGCGGCGACGAACGGCGCGAGCGACAGGUAAGAUUUGAUCCAUGACGCUGCUCGAGGCGACGGACGACGCCAUGACUCUAGCCACAACGGCGAAGCAAGAGAGAGACAGAGGGAGAAAGAGUUGUGUGUGGAUGGAUAAGAUCCGACUGGCUGCAGGUGGGUGCGUGGUGGAUAAGGUCAUGUAUAGCAGUGAUGGGUUGCAGAUAGCGCCCGCCAUAGCUAUAUACUAGCCUAUCCCGCGCGGCGGCACGCCACGUCUGUCGAUAUGGUGUUGUUAUAUGGUGUUGUUAUAUUCGACCUCUCUUCUCUCUUGGUGGACACACACUUACGGUUACGGACAACAAAUGCUCUUUUUCCAUUCUUAGCAAUCAUACUUAUUUUUGCAUACAUGGGGUAUGCGCGACACAGGUCGCGCAUUGUUGGCGUGUUUCAUUGAGAUUUGUGUGUGGUAGAGAAAGGGUAUAUGUGUUGAUCAUUUUGUUGUUUGAUUGGUUGGUACCCAUGUUGUGUUGUCCAUUCAUUCAUUUCCUCAGGAACCAAUGAUGUGUAUUAGGUGUAAUUAUACAUGUCAAGUCUUGUCUACAUGUGUCAUUUACGUGGCAAAGCAUUGUUUACUACUUGCUAUUAUAAAUAGAGUUUUUGUUGUUGCAAUUGCCCUACGCAGUUGUGCUGUAUGUGCAAGAUAUUAUUACCCUGCUUUAGAGCAUCUUCAAUAGAUGGUUCAUAUUUUGGCGAUGUAAAUCGGUGAUGUAAAAUUUUACAUCAUCAAAAAGUGAUUUUCACAUCUCCGAAAAAGAGGCAACUCCAAUAGAUGGUCCAAAACGAAGAAGUAAAACAACAACUCCCACAGAUGGUCCAAAACGAAGAUGUAAAACCGGCCGGCGGCCGCACGGCUGCUGUUCAGCAGUUGUACAGCCACACAUAUUGCAAAAUACAUCUGAAAACAAUAAAAAAAUUAUACAUGUCCACAAUCUCAAAUUGUUACAUGGUUCUUCAAAUCCACGAGAUAAAAUGCAACACAAAUACAACGUAGUUUUGCAUAGUACAAUAUAGUUUUCCACAAACAAAUAAUGAAUCUAGGUGGCUCUUUUGCCAUGCCAUUUCCAAUGCUCUUCCACCGUCAGCCAUACUAUCCAAUCCCAAUUUAAAUAAUCAAGUUUCUUCAUUUCUUUACCUUGGGGAAUUCCGUCGAACACCUCGUGCGCGGGGUGGAAGAAGAUGGCCGAUGGUUGGAUUAGUAGCCCGUCGCUGCUGCGGUUGCGGAUGGCGGCGCAGAGGAGAAGGGAGCUCAGCGGCCGGUGAAGAGGAGCUAUACAGGUUGCCGGACCGCCGGAGCCGGCGUUUCCUGCCGCGGCUGCUUCCCGAAUCGGCGGCGACGGGGCGGCGGCGAGACGGCCUCCGCCGGGGGAGGCGACGGGGGCGAGAGCGGCGGCGAUUUGGGGCGAUGGCGGCGACGGCGAUUUAGGCGGUGGCGACGGCGAUUUUUCGGCGGCUGGUGCUCGGGCGGGGUGGGUGGUCGCGAGCGGUAAGGAAAAUGAACGGGUGGUUGGUCGUUUUGCGGGCUUUGCAUCACGAAGUGUUUUAUUUUACAUCUUCGGGAGGCAGUGAUGUAAUUUUUUUUUACAUAUGGAUCACCUGUUGGAGCAACAUUUUUUUUUGCUCUCGAAGAUCCAAUAGUUAGGUAUUUUUACAUAUGAACCGUCUAUUGGAGACGCUCUUAACUACAAGAGCAGUUUUUGUUGUUAUUGGUGCAUUGCAUGCACCACCAGUUGCUUGCAAGCUCAUCAUCAGUUUCUUCCCUGAAGAAGAGACUUGAAAAAUACCACUCACUUAAGCAGCACAAAUCUUUUUAUUUCCUGAUAAUUGAAACCAGGUUGCUGAGAUCAAGCCUGCGAUGCUCUUAAUUAUCACCAGACAUACAUAAACGGGUAGACAACUUGGGACCAUUAAUUAAUUGGUUAUGACAGUGCAGUGGAUGGAAUAAAUAUGCUAAGCACAAGUAGGGGGCGACAGGGGUGCCCCUGAUCCAACCGGUGGCCUUGGAUCCGAAAAUUCUACGUAGUGCAGACACAUAGUAUGACACACACGCUCACUCACUCACCUACACCUUCCGCUGUCACUUUACAACGUCAGCGGCUUAAAACCCUUGACCUGCUGGGCGGCGUUCCCGAUGACUUGUGGGCGGCCUUGGACGCCACGCUGGAACAUGUUCAGAAGCGAACAAGCUUGGCGCUCACGGGUCCACAUCCCGGAUAAACCGACCGGGAAGUUUUUGCUGUAUCGAACGUUUUCAUGCGCCCCUGUUCGUUUCUGCCGAGCAAACUGGAGUGCCUCGCCGCCAUCCCGGACGCCAUCGGCCACCUGACGGCGCUGCGCAAGCUCACAUUGCAGGCCUCUCCAUCAGCCGGACGGCCAGCCACGAGAAGCUCCGCAGCGGCGGCAACAAAAACCUCCAGAGCGCGCUCACGCCGGAGAUCAGCAACUACUCCAAUCUCAUCAUGCAAGAGACGGACUGCAUGCCAAGAGCGUGUUGGUGAGGAGAGUUCG